RNAcentral lists this ribosomal RNA (440 nucleotides) under uncultured bacterium. RNAcentral's name for it is "partial 16S ribosomal RNA". It matches the Rfam family "Bacterial small subunit ribosomal RNA", at positions 338 to 795 of the family's 1533-position model. The record is from RNAcentral.
CCUACGGGAGGCAGCAGUGGGGAAUAUUGCACAAUGGGGGAAACCCUGAUGCAGCGACGCCGCGUGAGUGCAGAAGGAUCUCGGUACGUAAAGCUCUAUCAGCAGGGAAGAAAAUGACUGUACCUGACUAAGAAGCCCCGGCUAACUACGUGCAAGCAGCCGCGGUAAUACGUAGGGGGCAACCGUUAUCCGGCUUUACUGGGUGUAACGGGAGCGUAGACGGCAGCACAAGUCUGGAGUGAAAUCCCGGGGCUUAACCCCGGAACUGCAUUGGAAACUGUGCGGCUGGAGUGCAGGAGGGGUAAGCGGAAUUCCUAGUGUAGCGGUGAAAUGCGUAGAUAUUAGGAGGAACACCGGUGGCGAAGGCGGCUUACUGGACUGUAACUGACGUUGAGGCUCGAAAGCGUGGGGAGCAAACAGGAUUAGAUACCCCUGUAGUC